Molecule: long non-coding RNA, 758 nt
Organism: Alexandromys fortis (reed vole)
Lineage: Eukaryota; Metazoa; Chordata; Mammalia; Rodentia; Cricetidae
Exons: 4
Source: RefSeq, a predicted model, not a curated record
UAGAGUGUUUGCCUAGUAUACAUAAAGCCCUGGGCUCCAUCCCCAGCACUACCAGGGAAAAAAGAUAAAAAAGAAAACCUCCAACAGACCAAGGGCUCAGUCAAAGCCAAGGUGCUUCAGGGCCUUAACAGGGUAAGUAACAGGGUGCUGAGGAAGGAAUGGGAGCAAGACUUGCACAGUUUUCUCACGGUCCCUAGAACCCAAUACAAGACUCCAAACAAAGCAAGCAGGGUGCAGGUAGAGGAGCUCCAGGGUCUAGUUCCCACCUUGAACGUUCAACACUUUUUAUCCCAUUUCCCUCCCUGUGAACCAGGCUGGCCUUGAACUCACGGAGAGCCACCUGCGGAGUGCUGGGAUUAAAGGCUGCCUUGGGGUGUUUUCCUUCCUGCUUGCUUGUCGUGGCUGCCAGCAUCCCUGAGCGCCACUUCUCUGGACCUUCUGACUGUGCCUGGUUCUCUUCUGAGGUAGAGGGAUGUCCGGAACUGGAUUGGUUACUGCCAACUCACUGCAGGCUGACUGAAUGUCUUCAUCACCACGAAAAGAAAUUGUAUAUAAAUUGGGCAGGCUGGCGCACAGCUGCAAUCCUGCCUCGUGGGAGGAAGAUACAGAAGAUACAGGAGGAUGUUUUGAGUUCAAGGCUUCGGGUGACUCCCGCAGGGGGACGAAUGCCCGUUCCAGACAUGCUCCCCGCCUCUGAGGCCAGCGGUCCAUCGCAGAAGCCCCCAGAGGUACUGGCCACAAAACCCAGGAAAUCGGCG